AGAGGAGGGGUAUCAGAAAGAAAGCCAGUACAUUCGCUUAGAAAGAUAAAAAAAUAAAGAAAUAUCGAUUAAUAUUAAUACAUUAUAAGUUAUUGAAGCCGUCCUGUAUGUUUGAAGAGGUACACAGACAUUUAAAUAAAUGAUAAACGUGUGUGUCAGUACCUGUAUGUCCUUGAGAAGAAUGGAGAGUGUCUCCGUGUGACCGAUGAAGAGGAGAAGACUGCCAUUCUCAAUGAAGUUCACGCAGGACACUUCGACUCAUGGGUCGUAUCACUGCUGCAGUACAGUGGAAAGACAGUUCGGAUCGGGUGGCCACAUGUACAGCAGCAGCAGGGAUGGAGGGACUGUGGACUGUUUACCAUCGCAAACAGCCUCACACUCUGCAUGGGUGGAGAUCCAGGUAAGUUAUGUUAUGAUCAAAAGCAAAUGCGUGAUCAUCUUUUUUCUUGUUUUGUAGCUGGAUCUCUUCCUCCUUUCCCGAGCUGUGAGAGAACCCCCCUCCCAGAGGUACAUUUCUGUGAUGUGGAGACCAGACAGGAUUGCACUGGAGCUGAUGGUGGAAUGCGGGAGGUGUGGUGAAUGGUUCCAUGGCCAGUGUGAAGAUCUACAGCCAGAUGACCUCAUAAGCAUGGAGGAGUGUUUGUGCUGCAUUUGGAUUAGUAUAUUAUACUAACACUCCAAUGUGGUAAUGCCUGUCAAGCAACAUUACCAUCAUUUACAGCUAUUCACAUAUGUAUUGUUAAUAAGGCUCAGUGUCUUCAGUGUUUAUUUUUCAUGAGCGCACAAACUACUUAUUUUAAAGAAUUCAUUUUUUUCAGCAGACCCUGAUUCUGUAUUGAGACCUUUUUAUUUGGAGAAAUAUUGCAGCUGCUUUUGCACUUUCAUUUUUAAUUGGUAUGGUAGUCUUAGUUUCUGAGAUACUGAAUUACUGCCUGACUUGAGUAUUUCCAGGGCAGAGAUAUCCAAAGUAAACUGGAUGUCAGUUCCAACACCCACCUUGUUUAAUGUAGUUAUAUUGAACCAGCUGGGGAGGGGCUGAUUCACUGUAUUGAAGUGAAAUUCUGCCAAAUAAGGUGUGUGUAACAUGAUAUAAAAGUACAGUAGAUGUAAUUCUGAAGUGAUAAACAACUUCACAUUUUACGUGUACAUGUUUCAGACAUUAAUGCUUCAAUUUCAAAUUCGAUUUCCAUUCCUAUUAACUGAUAUUAGACAAUGACAUAUUAUAAAAGUUAAUAGUAUGAAAUGUCCGUAUGAUUUACUGAUAACACAUAUAAAUUGGUGAUGUCAUUUUUAGACAGGCAGCCUCUUUAAAGUCCUUCUUUUUUUGUGGGUUAUGUGAGAAGGCAUUUUAAAGUUCUGUUAAACCUGCUCCUAACACCCCACUCCAUCGGUCAGGACCUGGACGUGGUGACGGGGCUUUUUACCAAAGCUGACCUGCUGUAUAGUGUUUGUUUUUUUCACUAAUGCUUACGCAUUAAGUCCUGGAUAGCACGAUACAAUGGAAAUAUGCAAUCUGAUCAUGUACCUGUUUUAUUGUGAAGAAUACAGAAAAUAAAGUUUGU
This is a long non-coding RNA of Acipenser ruthenus (sterlet), 1562 nucleotides long. RefSeq lists it as uncharacterized. The transcript has 3 exons. NCBI's taxonomy places the organism in Eukaryota, Metazoa, Chordata, Actinopteri, Acipenseriformes, Acipenseridae. The record is from RefSeq and is a predicted model, not a curated record.